RNAcentral lists this ribosomal RNA (2161 nucleotides) under Salmonella enterica subsp. enterica serovar Westhampton. Its description in RNAcentral is "partial 23S ribosomal RNA". It matches the Rfam family "Bacterial large subunit ribosomal RNA", at positions 660 to 2802 of the family's 2925-position model. Lineage: Bacteria; Pseudomonadati; Pseudomonadota; Gammaproteobacteria; Enterobacterales; Enterobacteriaceae. The record is from RNAcentral.
GGGGAGCCGUAGGGAAACCGAGUCUUAACCGGGCGUUAAGUUGCAGGGUAUAGACCCGAAACCCGGUGAUCUAGCCAUGGGCAGGUUGAAGGUUGGGUAACACUAACUGGAGGACCGAACCGACUAAUGUUGAAAAAUUAGCGGAUGACCUGUGGCUGGGGGUGAAAGGCCAAUCAAACCGGGAGAUAGCUGGUUCUCCCCGAAAGCUAUUUAGGUAGCGCCUCGUGAACUCAUCUCCGGGGGUAGAGCACUGUUUCGGCUAGGGGGCCAUCCCGGCUUACCAACCCGAUGCAAACUGCGAAUACCGGAGAAUGUUAUCACGGGAGACACACGGCGGGUGCUAACGUCCGUCGUGAAGAGGGAAACAACCCAGACCGCCAGCUAAGGUCCCAAAGUCAUGGUUAAGUGGGAAACGAUGUGGGAAGGCCCAGACAGCCAGGAUGUUGGCUUAGAAGCAGCCAUCAUUUAAAGAAAGCGUAAUAGCUCACUGGUCGAGUCGGCCUGCGCGGAAGAUGUAACGGGGCUAAACCAUGCACCGAAGCUGCGGCAGCGACACUGUGUGUUGUUGGGUAGGGGAGCGUUCUGUAAGCCUGUGAAGGUGUGUCGUGAGGCAUGCUGGAGGUAUCAGAAGUGCGAAUGCUGACAUAAGUAACGAUAAAGCGGGUGAAAAGCCCGCUCGCCGGAAGACCAAGGGUUCCUGUCCAACGUUAAUCGGGGCAGGGUGAGUCGACCCCUAAGGCGAGGCCGAAAGGCGUAGUCGAUGGGAAACGGGUUAAUAUUCCCGUACUUGGUGUUACUGCGAAGGGGGGACGGAGAAGGCUAUGUUGGCCGGGCGACGGUUGUCCCGGUUUAAGCGUGUAGGUGUGUGUUCCAGGUAAAUCCGGUUCACUUUAACACUGAGGCGUGAUGACGAGGCACUACGGUGCUGAAGCAACAAAUGCCCUGCUUCCAGGAAAAGCCUCUAAGCAUCAGGUAACAUCAAAUCGUACCCCAAACCGACACAGGUGGUCAGGUAGAGAAUACCAAGGCGCUUGAGAGAACUCGGGUGAAGGAACUAGGCAAAAUGGUGCCGUAACUUCGGGAGAAGGCACGCUGACACGUAGGUGAAGUGAUUUACUCAUGGAGCUGAAGUCAGUCGAAGAUACCAGCUGGCUGCAACUGUUUAUUAAAAACACAGCACUGUGCAAACACGAAAGUGGACGUAUACGGUGUGACGCCUGCCCGGUGCCGGAAGGUUAAUUGAUGGGGUCAGCGCAAGCGAAGCUCCUGAUCGAAGCCCCGGUAAACGGCGGCCGUAACUAUAACGGUCCUAAGGUAGCGAAAUUCCUUGUCGGGUAAGUUCCGACCUGCACGAAUGGCGUAAUGAUGGCCAGGCUGUCUCCACCCGAGACUCAGUGAAAUUGAACUCGCUGUGAAGAUGCAGUGUACCCGCGGCAAGACGGAAAGACCCCGUGAACCUUUACUAUAGCUUGACACUGAACAUUGAGCCUUGAUGUGUAGGAUAGGUGGGAGGCUUUGAAGUGUGGACGCCAGUCUGCAUGGAGCCGACCUUGAAAUACCACCCUUUAAUGUUUGAUGUUCUAACGUGGACCCGUUACCCGGGUUGCGGACAGUGUCUGGUGGGUAGUUUGACUGGGGCGGUCUCCUCCUAAAGAGUAACGGAGGAGCACGAAGGUUGGCUAAUCCUGGUCGGACAUCAGGAGGUUAGUGCAAUGGCAUAAGCCAGCUUGACUGCGAGCGUGACGGCGCGAGCAGGUGCGAAAGCAGGUCAUAGUGAUCCGGUGGUUCUGAAUGGAAGGGCCAUCGCUCAACGGAUAAAAGGUACUCCGGGGAUAACAGGCUGAUACCGCCCAAGAGUUCAUAUCGACGGCGGUGUUUGGCACCUCGAUGUCGGCUCAUCACAUCCUGGGGCUGAAGUAGGUCCCAAGGGUAUGGCUGUUCGCCAUUUAAAGUGGUACGCGAGCUGGGUUUAGAACGUCGUGAGACAGUUCGGUCCCUAUCUGCCGUGGGCGCUGGAGAACUGAGGGGGGCUGCUCCUAGUACGAGAGGACCGGAGUGGACGCAUCACUGGUGUUCGGGUUGUCAUGCCAAUGGCACUGCCCGGUAGCUAAAUGCGGAAGAGAUAAGUGCUGAAAGCAUCUAAGCACGAAACUUGCCCCGA